Molecule: ribosomal RNA, 377 nt
Filed under: uncultured Planctomycetota bacterium
Lineage: Bacteria; Pseudomonadati; Planctomycetota
Description: bacterial SSU rRNA
Rfam family: Bacterial small subunit ribosomal RNA
Source: RNAcentral
UAAGACGAACCGCCCAAACGUUAUUCGGAAUCACUGGGUUUAAAGGGUGCGUAGGCGGCUUGGCAAGUUGGGUGUGAAAUCCCUCGGCUCAACCGAGGAACUGCGCUCAAAACUGCCAGGCUUGAGGGAGAUAGAGGUGAGCGGAACUUAGGGUGGAGCGGUGAAAUGCGUUGAUAUCCUAAAGAACACCUGUGGCGAAAGCGGCUCACUGGAUCUCUUCUGACGCUCAGGCACGAAAGCUAGGGUAGCGAACGGGAUUAGAUACCCCGGUAGUCCUAGCUGUAAACGAUGAGCACUGGGUUGGAGGUCCCUCCAUAGGCUUCCGGCCGAAGCGAAAGUGUUAAGUGCUCCACCUGGGGAGUAUGGUCGCAAGGCUG